AGCGAAAUGCGAUAAGUAAUGUGAAUUGCAGAAUUCAGUGAAUCAUCGAAUCUUUGAACGCACCUUGCGCCCCUUGGCUAUUCCGAGGGGCAUGCCUGUUUGAGUAUCAUGAACACCUCAACUCUCAUGGUUUGCCAUGAUGAGUUGGACUCUGGGGGUUUUGCUGGCCUGUGGUCGGCUCCUCUCAAAUUAAUCAGCCUCCCAGUGUUUGGUGGCAUCACGGGUGUGAUAAAUAUCUAUGCUCGCUGUUGUCUGCCAGGUAACCUUUGGUCACAAAGGUUUGCUGGAGCUCACAGAUGUCUCUCCUCAGCGAGGACAGCUUUUUUAACGUUCGAUCUCAAAUCAGGUAGGACUACCCGCUGAACUUAA
This 369-nucleotide ribosomal RNA is filed under the name uncultured Thelephora. Its description in RNAcentral is "eukaryotic LSU rRNA". The stretch from base 1 to 109 matches the Rfam family "5.8S ribosomal RNA", at positions 47 to 154 of the family's 154-position model. The record is from RNAcentral. Lineage: Eukaryota; Fungi; Basidiomycota; Agaricomycetes; Thelephorales; Thelephoraceae.